AUUGAACGCUGGCGGCAGGCCUAACACAUGCAAGUCGAACGGUAACAGGAAGCAGCUUGCUGCUUUGCUGACGAGUGGCGGACGGGUGAGUAAUGUCUGGGAAACUGCCUGAUGGAGGGGGAUAACUACUGGAAACGGUAGCUAAUACCGCAUAACGUCGCAAGACCAAAGAGGGGGACCUUAGGGCCUCUUGCCAUCGGAUGUGCCCAGAUGGGAUUAGCUAGUAGGUGGGGUAACGGCUCACCUAGGCGACGAUCCCUAGCUGGUCUGAGAGGAUGACCAGCCGCACUGGAACUGAGACACGGUCCAGACUCCUACGGGAGGCAGCAGUGGGGAAUAUUGCACAAUGGGCGCAAGCCUGAUGCAGCCAUGCCGCGUGUAUGAAGAAGGCCUUCGGGUUGUAAAGUACUUUCAGCGGGGAGGAAGGGAGUAAAGUUAAUACCUUUGCUCAUUGACGUUACCCGCAGAAGAAGCACCGGCUAACUCCGUG
RNAcentral lists this ribosomal RNA (490 nucleotides) under uncultured bacterium. RNAcentral describes it as "partial 16S ribosomal RNA". It matches the Rfam family "Bacterial small subunit ribosomal RNA", at positions 30 to 507 of the family's 1533-position model. The record is from RNAcentral.